AUUGAACGCUGGCGGCAGGCCUAACACAUGCAAGUCGAACGAGUGGCGGACGGGUGAGUAAUGUCUGGGAAACUGCCUGAUGGAGGGGGAUAUCUACUGGAAACGGUAGCUAAUACCGCAUACCAUCAGAUGUGCCCAGAUGGGAUUAGCUAGUUGGGGGGGUAACGGCUCACCAAGGCGACGAUCCCUAGCUGGUCUGAGAGGAUAACCAGCAACACUGGACCUGAGACACGGCCCAGACUCCUACGGGCGGCAGAAGUGGGAAAUCUUGAACAAUGGGCGAAAGCCGGAUGCAGCCAUGCCGCGUGUAUGAAGAUGGCCUUCGGGUUGUAAAGUACUUUCAGCGGGGAGGCGUUACCCGCAGAAGAAGCACCGGCUAACUCCGUGCCAGCCGCCGCGGUAAUUC
Molecule: ribosomal RNA, 406 nt
Filed under: uncultured bacterium
Lineage: Bacteria
Description: partial 16S ribosomal RNA
Rfam family: Bacterial small subunit ribosomal RNA
Source: RNAcentral